Molecule: non-coding RNA, 74 nt
Organism: Dendryphion nanum
Lineage: Eukaryota; Fungi; Ascomycota; Dothideomycetes; Pleosporales; Torulaceae
Source: the annotation of a GenBank genome assembly
GUUGGUGUAUUGCAAGGGUAGCAUAGCUGGUGCUUUCUGCCAGAAGAUCCAGGUUCGAGUCCUCGGCGCCAACC